RNAcentral lists this transfer RNA (73 nucleotides) under Methanobrevibacter sp. RNAcentral's name for it is "tRNA-Val". It matches the Rfam family "tRNA". Rfam says of the family: Transfer RNA (tRNA) molecules are approximately 80 nucleotides in length. Their secondary structure includes four short double-helical elements and three loops (D, anti-codon, and T loops). Further hydrogen bonds mediate the characteristic L-shaped molecular structure. tRNAs have two regions of fundamental functional importance: the anti-codon, which is responsible for specific mRNA codon recognition, and the 3' end, to which the tRNAs corresponding amino acid is attached (by aminoacyl-tRNA synthetases). tRNAs cope with the degeneracy of the genetic code in two manners: having more than one tRNA (with a specific anti-codon) for a particular amino acid; and 'wobble' base-pairing, i.e. permitting non-standard base-pairing at the 3rd anti-codon position. The record is from RNAcentral. RNAcentral also lists the same sequence under 1 other name. Lineage: Archaea; Methanobacteriati; Methanobacteriota; Methanobacteria; Methanobacteriales; Methanobacteriaceae.
GGUUCCGUGGUCUAGUUGGUAUGAUACCUCCCUUACAAGGAGGGGAUCACGAGUUCGAGUCUCGUCGGAACCA